This 784-nucleotide ribosomal RNA is filed under the name uncultured organism. RNAcentral describes it as "bacterial SSU rRNA". It matches the Rfam family "Bacterial small subunit ribosomal RNA", at positions 644 to 1417 of the family's 1533-position model. The record is from RNAcentral.
GAGGCAAGAAGGGGCGCACGGAACUCUUGGUGGAGCGGUGGAAUGCGUAGAUAUCAAGAGGAACGCCAGAGGCGAAGGCGGUGCGCUGGGCUUGACCUGACGCUGAGGUGCGAAAGCCAGGGGAGCGAACGGGAUUAGAUACCCCGGUAGUCCUGGCCAUAAACGAUGUCUACUAGAUCUGAGGUGUUCUGACACACUUCUGGUCGAAACAAAAGCGUUAAGUAGACCGCCUGGGGAGUACGGUCGCAAGGCUAAAACUCAAAGGAAUUGACGGGGGCUCACACAAGCGGUGGAGCAUGUUGCUUAAUUCGAUGCAACGCGAAGAACCUUAUCCUGGGCUUGACAUGCUUGGAUGCCCAUCUAGAAAUAGAGUAGGCUGCCCUUCGGGGUGAAACUUGCACAGGUGCUGCAUGGCUGUCGUCAGCUCGUGUCGUGAGAUGUUGGGUUAAGUCCCGUAACGAGCGAAACCCUUGUCGUUAGUUGCCAGCGACUAAAGUCGGGGACUCUAACGAGACUGCCGCUCUUAAACCGGAGGAAGGUGGGGAUGACGUCAAGUCCUCAUGGCCUUUAUGCCCAGGGCUGCAAACGUGCUACAAUGGCGUGUACAAACCGAUGCAAGACCGCGAGGUGGAGCAAAUCGGAAAAAGCACGCCCCAGUUCGGAUUGGAGUCUGCAACUCGACUCCAUGAAGUUGGAAUCGCUAGUAAUCGCAGAUCAGCAAUGCUGCGGUGAAUGUGUUCAUGAGCAUUGUACACACCGCCCGUCAAGUCAUGGAAGCCGGGAG